GAUGAAGAACGUAGCGAAAUGCGAUAAGUAGUGUGAAUUGCAGAAUUCAGUGAAUCAUCGAAUCUUUGAACGCACAUUGCGCCCUUUGGUAUUCCGAAGGGCAUGCCUGUUCGAGCGUCAUUAUCACCCCUCAAGCCCUCGGCUUGGUGUUGGACGGUUUGGUGGAGGCCCCCUCGGGGGCUCCUGCCCCUCCCAAAGACAAUGACGGCGGCCUCGUUGGACCCCCGGUACACUGAGUUCUUCACGGGACACGUAUCGGACACAUGGGUUUACGGGACACGGUCUGCCUCCCCUCAGGGAGAAUCUUUCUAAGGUUGACCUCGGAUCAGGUAGGGAUACCCGCUGAACUUAAGCAUAUCAAUAAGCGGAGGA
Molecule: unclassified non-coding RNA, 372 nt
Filed under: soil metagenome
Description: partial contains 5.8S ribosomal RNA, internal transcribed spacer 2, and large subunit ribosomal RNA
Rfam family: 5.8S ribosomal RNA (bases 1-120)
Source: RNAcentral